GACGAACGCUGGCGGCGUGCUUAACACAUGCAAGUCGAACGGAAAGGCCCUGCUUUUGUGGGGUGCUCGAGUGGCGAACGGGUGAGUAACACGUGAGUAACCUGCCCUUGACUUUGGGAUAACUUCAGGAAACUGGGGCUAAUACCGGAUAGGAGCUCCUGCUGCAUGGUGGGGGUUGGAAAGUUUCGGCGGUUGGGGAUGGACUCGCGGCUUAUCAGCUUGUUGGUGGGGUAGUGGCUUACCAAGGCUUUGACGGGUAGCCGGCCUGAGAGGGUGACCGGCCACAUUAGGACUGAGAUACGGCCCAGACUCCUACGGGAGGCAGCAGUGGGGAAUAUUGCACAAUGGGCGGAAGCCUGAUGCAGCAACGCCGCGUGCGGGAUGACGGCCUGCGGGUUGUAAACCGCUUUCGCCUGUGACGAAGCGUGAGUGACGGUAAUGGGUAAAGAAGCACCGGCUAACUACGUG
RNAcentral lists this ribosomal RNA (468 nucleotides) under uncultured bacterium. Its description in RNAcentral is "partial 16S ribosomal RNA". It matches the Rfam family "Bacterial small subunit ribosomal RNA", at positions 28 to 507 of the family's 1533-position model. The record is from RNAcentral.